AUUACUUUGGCAGAAUAGUGUAAUGAAUUUAGAAUUCAUAAAUGUAUAUUUUAAUAUACAAGUAAUA
Molecule: transfer RNA, 67 nt
Filed under: Inocellia fulvostigmata
Lineage: Eukaryota; Metazoa; Arthropoda; Insecta; Raphidioptera; Inocelliidae
Description: tRNA-Leu
Source: RNAcentral